RNAcentral lists this transfer RNA (76 nucleotides) under Betaproteobacteria bacterium ADurb.Bin341. Its description in RNAcentral is "tRNA-Phe". It matches the Rfam family "tRNA". Rfam says of the family: Transfer RNA (tRNA) molecules are approximately 80 nucleotides in length. Their secondary structure includes four short double-helical elements and three loops (D, anti-codon, and T loops). Further hydrogen bonds mediate the characteristic L-shaped molecular structure. tRNAs have two regions of fundamental functional importance: the anti-codon, which is responsible for specific mRNA codon recognition, and the 3' end, to which the tRNAs corresponding amino acid is attached (by aminoacyl-tRNA synthetases). tRNAs cope with the degeneracy of the genetic code in two manners: having more than one tRNA (with a specific anti-codon) for a particular amino acid; and 'wobble' base-pairing, i.e. permitting non-standard base-pairing at the 3rd anti-codon position. Lineage: Bacteria; Pseudomonadati; Pseudomonadota; Betaproteobacteria. RNAcentral also lists the same sequence under 4 other names. The record is from RNAcentral.
GGCGAGGUAGCUCAGUUGGUAGAGCAGCGGACUGAAAAUCCGCGUGUCGCCGGUUCGAUCCCGGCCCUUGCCACCA